GUGCCAGCAGCCGCGGUAAUACGAAGGGGGCUAGCGUUGUUCGGAAUUACUGGGCGUAAAGCGCACGUAGGCGGACAUUUAAGUCAGGGGUGAAAUCCCGGGGCUCAACCCCGGAACUGCCUUUGAUACUGGGUGUCUUGAGUGUGGAAGAGGUGAGUGGAAUUGCGAGUGUAGAGGUGAAAUUCGUAGAUAUUCGCAGGAACACCAGUGGCGAAGGCGGCUCACUGGUCCACAACUGACGCUGAGGUGCGAAAGCGUGGGGAGCAAACAGGAUUAGAUACCCCGGUAGUCC
This 292-nucleotide ribosomal RNA is filed under the name uncultured bacterium. RNAcentral describes it as "partial 16S ribosomal RNA". It matches the Rfam family "Bacterial small subunit ribosomal RNA", at positions 505 to 796 of the family's 1533-position model. The record is from RNAcentral.